AUGGGGGUUUAUAAUAUGUACUGUGAUUUUUCCCCAGCUCUUGUGGUUCCAUCAGUUAUUGCAGUAUUUUUCACGCUGGCCUUUGAAUUUGUGGGCUUGGCAUGUGGUAAGAUGACAUUUGAUUCAAGAGAACAAUUUGUUGUAUUAUUGAACAAUGUUCAUGUUUUUUGUAUUCCUUCAGACAUGCCAGCUCAUACUAAGAAAUGCAGAGGUCCUCCAUAUGAGAGAAGAGAUGCUUAUUGGGGAUUUGGUUUUGCUGUUUUUAUCGCCUUCCUGAAUCUCAACCUCUCUUACGCUUACACACUAUCCUAUGGAGGUGGAAUCAUAGUGUUUGCAAUGAGAGGAGCAAAACGGAAAUGGAAUUCUUUAAGGGAGAUAAGAGCGAAAGAAAAGAAUGCUCAAGGUAGACGGUGGUGA
RNAcentral lists this long non-coding RNA (417 nucleotides) under Betta splendens (Siamese fighting fish). RNAcentral's name for it is "lncRNA (ENSBSLG00000001166.1)". The record is from RNAcentral. Lineage: Eukaryota; Metazoa; Chordata; Actinopteri; Anabantiformes; Osphronemidae.